CUACGGGGGGCAGCAGGGAAGAAUAUUGUACAAUGGGGGCAACCCUGAUACAGCAACGCCGCGUGAAGGAAGAAGGCCUUCGGGUUGUAAACUUCUGUGACAGAGGACGAAGAAGAUGACGGUACUCUGAGAGGAAGCUCCGGCAAACUACGUGCCAGCAGCCGCGGGAAUACGUAGGGGGCGAGCGUUGUCCGGAAUCACUGGGCGUAAAGGGCGCGUAGGCGGCCGAAUAAGUUGAAUGUGAAAUCCCAGGGCUCAACCCUGGACGUGCAUUCAAAACUGUUUGGCUUGAGUAUGGUAGAGGAAAGUGGAAUUCCUAGUGUAGCGGUGGAAUGCGUAGAUAUUAGGAGGAACACCAGUGGCGAAGGCGACUUUCUGGGCCAAAACUGACGCUGAGGCGCGAAAGCGUGGGGAGCAAACAGGAUUAGAUACCCGUGUAGUC
This 442-nucleotide ribosomal RNA is filed under the name uncultured bacterium. Its description in RNAcentral is "partial 16S ribosomal RNA". It matches the Rfam family "Bacterial small subunit ribosomal RNA", at positions 339 to 795 of the family's 1533-position model. The record is from RNAcentral.